RNAcentral lists this transfer RNA (95 nucleotides) under Nocardia africana. Its description in RNAcentral is "tRNA-Arg(ccg)". The record is from RNAcentral. Lineage: Bacteria; Bacillati; Actinomycetota; Actinomycetes; Mycobacteriales; Nocardiaceae.
GUCUGGGCCAGCAUGUCCUGGCCGAUCUCGUUGGUCCCGAACCAAUGCUGCGGCGACGGGGGUUGCAGCAGUGCGUACGGGUCGCGCUCCUGAUA